UACGGAAGGGGGCUAGCGUUGCUCGGAAUCACUGGGCGUAAAGCGCACGUAGGCGGAUCUUAAGUCGGUGGUGAAAUCCUGGAGCUCAACUCCAGAACUGCCUUUGAUACUGAGGAUCUUGAGUUCGGGAGAGGUGAGUGGAACUGCGAGUGUAGAGGUGAAAUUCGUAGAUAUUCGCAAGAACACCAGUGGCGAAGGCGGCUCACUGGCCCGAUACUGACGCUGAGGCACGAAAGCGUGGGGAGCAACAGGG
This 253-nucleotide ribosomal RNA is filed under the name uncultured bacterium. RNAcentral describes it as "partial 16S ribosomal RNA". It matches the Rfam family "Bacterial small subunit ribosomal RNA", at positions 524 to 776 of the family's 1533-position model. The record is from RNAcentral.